AAUCAACGCUGGCGGCGUGCCUCAGACAUGCAAGUCGAACGCGAAAGCCCCCGUUCGGGGGCAAGUAGAGUGGCGCACGGGUGAGUAACACGUAGGUAAUCUACCUUUGGAUGGGGAAGUAACAACCGGAAACGGUUGGCUAAUACCGCAUAAUGCAGCGGCACCUAAAUGGGUGACAGUUGUUAAAGCGGGGGAUCGAAAGACCUCGCGUCUGAAGAGGAGCCUGCGGCGGAUUAGCUAGNGGUAA
Molecule: ribosomal RNA, 247 nt
Filed under: uncultured bacterium
Lineage: Bacteria
Description: partial 16S ribosomal RNA
Rfam family: Bacterial small subunit ribosomal RNA
Source: RNAcentral